RNAcentral lists this long non-coding RNA (1382 nucleotides) under Medicago truncatula (barrel medic). RNAcentral's name for it is "long non-coding RNA (MTRU_LNC001876)". The record is from RNAcentral. Lineage: Eukaryota; Viridiplantae; Streptophyta; Magnoliopsida; Fabales; Fabaceae.
UCCUCCAUCUGUAAAACGCAUCACACGUUGUAUCAUUUUCACUCAAUCAAAAAACGCUCGCUUUGCUGUUCAAUCGGAACACUCGCCGUCCAAGCCCUUGGCUGUUCAAUCGAAUCCUCUCAAUCGGUGAGUUCUCUCUCUCUAUCUCUCUGAAUUUUCAAUUGAAACUCUAACCCCUUUGUUGUUAAAAAAAAAAUCGUGAAACCCUAAUCCUUUUCAAACAGUGGAACACGAUUUGAAUAUGAAUUGGGUUUUAUGAGUUUCACGUGUUUGUUGGUUUGUUUGUCAGAUUUGAUGAAAUAAAAAUUUUGUAGCUUAAAUUUUGAACUGGGUGUUCUUAUUGAGGUUCAGUUGUUUGUUAGAUUUGAUGAAGAUACAAUUGUACUUUUUUUUUGCUGCUUGAAUUUUGAAUUGGGUGUUUUUAGGAUUUGUUUAGUUUUAGGUUUCAACCAUAUAAAAUGGUUAGGGAAAAAAGAGUCAACUACUCUGUUUAAUUUUUUUAUCAGUAGCAAUGGAGUUCAAUAUUCUGGGAUUUACAAGUCCACUUGACAUGAAAUUAAGAACAAAAGAAAAAAAAUUAUGCCAUGAAAUUAGGAAUAAGUUUUAGUUCUUUGUACCUUGCUGCAGAUUUGUUACUUAGUUUUAUCAGGACAGAUUUUAAGCCAUUAGUGUAGCUCUAUUAUUGGAAAGUAGUAAUAAGGAAUAGUCUAUAUAAUGUAAAUACAUUGUACAAUUGUCACCAUAUAAUGAUGUUUAAGAUAUUUCCUUUCAACUAACGGUAUAUUUUCCCUAGUAAGUAAUAACAACCAGAGUAGGAGAUGCCUGACAGGACAAGUGACUUGAAAAUGUAACAUAUAUAAUUAAAUUAUUGAAUGAGGAAUUGAGUGUAUUUAAGGUACAUAUGUGAUAUAUUGAGUACUCAGGCUUAAUUUCUCAUGUUUUUUAAGGAUAGAAUAUAAAUAAGCAUUUAAAUAGGUUUUAGAGGAAGACCUAAGAAAACCAUUCGAGAAACCAUUAGAAAAGAUUUAGAGGUCAAUGAGUUGGAUUCAAAUAUGGUUUUUGAUAGAACACUAUGGUGGCAUUUGAUCCAUGUAGCCGACCCCACUUAGUGGGAUAAGGCUUGGUUGUUGUUGUUGUUGUUGUCGUUGUCAGGUAUAACUUCUCAGACAUAACUUCUUCAGGGCACAACUUGAAAUAAAACUAGAAUGCUGGGAUGGUUUAGUUUGAAGCUGUAGCGUUUUAGGACCUUGACACUUGACAUGUUCACUUGUUUAUCAUGUUUGUUUAUCAUAAGAGUGUUAAUUUCUCCUAUUAUAUUUUAAAUAUUUCAAUGUAAUUGUUUUUAUGAUUGAUGAUUUAUUCUGUAACAAAUAUGAUAAAGN